Molecule: RNA transcript, 2255 nt
Organism: Metopolophium dirhodum (rose-grain aphid)
Lineage: Eukaryota; Metazoa; Arthropoda; Insecta; Hemiptera; Aphididae
Exons: 9
Source: RefSeq, a predicted model, not a curated record
GUAAAUAUUAUUGACUCUCGUGUAUUUGAGAAAUAAGUAAGUAAUAAUAAAAAUACAUAAUUCAAAUGCUUCACUGGCAUUUACUCUUAAGAAUUAAAUUCUUGUAUCCAAGAUGGAAAUCGAUGACGAAGAUGUUGUCGUAGACGGCACAGAUUUACAAAAGUAUUUGAACGCUGUUGGAUACUCUGAAUUUGAAGUUUCUAAACAAAAACCUGUUGAAAAGCUUUGUCCAACUGAAGUACAAAAAUGUUCAAGGAAAAUAAUGAGACCAACCCAAAAUCAAAAGGACUUUGGAUUGUGUGUAACAUUAAUCAAGAUAAUCAUGGAAAGUCAACUUAUUUUCAAAGAAGAUACUUUAUUUAUUAAGGAGUUUAUUCCAUCAGAACAUUUUAAAUAUCCUCCAUUUCUUACUAAACGGAAAAGUAUUACUCUACUUAUACUAUGCGUAUUCUGUAGUUUUAUGAAUAUGUUUUUUUCAAAAUUCUGGGAUGAAUGGACAAUCAUAGGUAUGUUCAUUUUUUGGUUUGGUUGUGUGUUUAUGGAUGUACUGUAUAACCUAAACCAAAAUAGAAAGAUAAAAAAUACUACAAUGAAAACCAUUCAAUCCAUGGAAAAAUUAUCUCUGCUGAUACAAAAGUCUACUCAUUUUGUGCAAGAAUGUAGCAAUCUUCAUAAUAGUUGUUUUCACACAUGUGAUGGUAAAAAUCCUAAUGCCUUCAAAUACUUAUUGAUGCCAGAAUUAAGAACUUUGCUUAUAACUGUAUUACAAGAUUUGAUCAAUAAUCUUGUAUAUAAUGUAUCUGAAGUUCACACAUUUUUCCCUCUAAAAGAUUCGGUUUCCAACAUUGUUUAUUUGUACAAAACAGACUGCAAAAUAGAUUUAAAAAACACUUCUUUUGAAAAUAUAAAUAAAGCCAAGUACACUUAUUUUUUAUUACAAUCAGAAUUCUUGAAACAGUUAGCUCUGUGUUUAUGUCCAGCAUUAUGGACUCCUCACAGUUUUUUUCAUUUGAAUCGUCUAAUUGAAACUAUUGGUAAAAUUGAAGAAAUUUAUUCUGACUUAUAUAAUGUUUUAUAUGAUGAGUAUAAUGUUUAUUCUAUGUUCAAAAAUAAUACUAAAGAGCAUAGUAAACAACCAGUUCAGUGUACAAACAUAAAUUCUGAUCUGAAACUGAAGAUAUAUAGUAUUCGACAGUUCUUACAAAACAUGAUGGUGCAUGUUCGGUUCAUGGAAGACUCAAUUGAAAACUCUUCAGCGUGCAGUAUUGAUGAUAUAAAUAGUACAUUGAAUGUUUUAUUAAAAGAUGUCAGUGUUUUUAAUGAACUUAUUUCAGCUUUACAAAUUAACAUUCUAAAAAAAAAUAAUAAUCAAACAGAUAAAUCUAUAUUAACUAAUGAUUCUAUUGAAGUAACUGACCAUAUAGAUACAGAGACCAAUGAACCAAUCAAAGAAAUCUGUGAAGAUGAAUUAUUUUUUGGUGUAUCUGAAGAACUUACUGAAAAUAUGGAGAAUACAUUUUGUAAUGAAGUUAUAUUUGAUAAGUCUAACAAUCAUAAUUUAAUGUUAGAAUUGAAAGUGGCGCUUAAAGAUAAACAAGCAGAAUGGAAACAACGAGAAUGCAAGUUGUUAGAAAAACAUCCACAGUUAAAUGACUCAUCUGAUGACGAUGAAAGUAAUGAGACACAAGUUCAGUACAUAAAUAAAGUGCGUAAAGUAGCAUUAGACUUGCCUUCCGAUGAAAGCUUUUCUAUGCAAUUACCUGAUAAAAACUUUGCUAGUGAAAUAGCCAUGGUUGCUUGUAAACGGAAUACAGCAAUUGAGUGUUUUGGAGAUGAUUCUGAUUCAAGUACAUCAAUAGACUCAAAUGAUUCUUAAAUUUUGGGAUAUGAUGUAAUUCUAUUGUUGUUCCAAUCAAACGUGUAUAAUAUGCAACAUUAUCUUAGCUUACAAAAACAAUGUUUUAAUUUCAUUAAAGAUUCAAAUAGCCAGGUGAUCUGAUUUAAAGAAUAAUGUGACAUUACAAUAUACAGGUGUACUUCCGAAAUCUUUGCAUGCUAUGAAGAUUUUUUCUUCAACAAUUGUUUAAAAAAAUAUAAAUAAGUUGAUCAAUGUUGAAUCUAUCAUAUAAAGAAAUUGUAUGUGAUAUUAAGAAUAAAAAUACAAAACAUUCAGAUAUGACUUAAGAUUAUAAAUGCGCCUAUAAUUCAAUUUCAAUUUAACACAAUUCAAUGUAAUGUUCAUUAUUAGAAUUAAG